Molecule: long non-coding RNA, 1505 nt
Filed under: Dromaius novaehollandiae (emu)
Lineage: Eukaryota; Metazoa; Chordata; Aves; Casuariiformes; Dromaiidae
Description: lncRNA (ENSDNVG00000004699.1)
Source: RNAcentral
GCGCUCUCAGAAAUCCUCCGCGCUGCCACAGCAGGACACUCUAGUGCUGCAAGUAGGUGAGGAAAAUCUGCCAGUCUCGCAAGUUCGCUGUAGGGAAAGCUGCAUUUUCUGAUCCUAGAGAAAAGCUUAACAGAGUAAGUGGGAAAAGUCUAAUCUUAAUGGAAAAUAACAUGUCAGAAUUCAGCUUUUCUUCUCUUUAAGCUUAUAAUAGUCUCACUUCUUUCUGACUUGUGUCAGAUAGAGUAAAACAAGGUAAAUUCCCUCAAGGAAGAAAGCCAUCAAAGUGCGUCUAUUUUAAUGACUUAGUCUCCCACGUUCAAAAAAUUUUCUUUGUUAUCCUCUGUUUAAAAACAGGAAAUGAAAAUCAGAAAGAGUAAAACCCUGUGUUAUCUGAUGCUCAGUCCAGAUAUCCAGCCUUAGCUCUGUCUUUUUGCUUACUUGCCCUUGUAACCUAGUGUUUAGAUGAAAGUCAUGGUGCAGUUAUCUCGCCUUUGAAGUUGUGUUAUCUCUUCAUCUGCUUUUAGCGUUGAUGAUUAUUUGGUGGUUCGGUAGCAUUUAUGAUUCAGCCUCCGAACGUGCGGAGAGGACGCUGCCGGGCUGUUACGGGCGUUCCUGCAAGCUCCGGGCCCGCCGAGGCGGGUUGGCGCCGGGGUCGAACGACCCCUCAGCUCUGCGCGCGGGGCUUGGCAGGGGCAGGGCGCGGCGGCCGUGGGGCGCAGACGUGGUGGACGCACGCGUGCGCGUGCCCAAAGCACCGCGCGGGCGCCACGAAGGGCUGCGGCGCGGGGCUGAGCCCGGGCUGCGGCCGCGUGCGAGGACGGAGCCUCGCCAGCCUCCCCGCGGCCCCGACGCCGACUCCUCGUGUUGCAAGUUUUCCUUGAGUUCUUUACGGGUAAAACAUUAGCAGUGUGCACACUGGAAGUAACUGCACCUUUCAGACGAGUGAAAACUACAGUUAGGUGAAUUACCUUCAUUUUGGUUCGAUACAAGGAUAUUCCUGUUGCUUGCAAUCUUGACAGAUACCGUAACAGUUGUUUCCCAAGAAAGUACUUGGUAUUAAAAGCUAUUUUAUAUAUAUAUACAUAUAUAUAUAUAUAAAAUUCAGAGAGAAUUAACUUUUUUUGUACUGUGAAAAAUGAAUUGCUGUAUUAACAAGAUGUUGCAAUAUACUACAGACUAAAUCUACCCCUUUGUUAUAUUUUCUUCUCCAAAUGUGGAAAAAGUCAUCCAAAACCAGUCAAGCUGAGCUCUUGUGUAACGCAGCAGCUAGUGACCGGAGCCCGGAUGAAAUCCUACAUGUGCAGUCCUAUUCACUUCUCAUGUUUUUAAGAAAUGUGUUUGAAAAUAUUGUGUGCUAAAUAGAGUAUGAAGGCAUGCUUUGAAUUAUAAACUUAGUGUACAAAAUUAAGUUCUGUGUAAUCCUACGGAUGGUUUUAACAGAUCCUCACUCUUCCAGUCUUCACAGUAAGAAUAAAAUAUUUAUAUUUUACUUAAUUUCCGGUGAU